RNAcentral lists this ribosomal RNA (450 nucleotides) under uncultured bacterium. Its description in RNAcentral is "bacterial SSU rRNA". It matches the Rfam family "Bacterial small subunit ribosomal RNA", at positions 354 to 796 of the family's 1533-position model. The record is from RNAcentral.
GUGGGGAAUAUUGGACAAUGGGCGAAAGCCUGAUCCAGCCAUGCCGCGUGUGUGAAGAAGGUCUUCGGAUUGUAAAGCACUUUAAGUUGGGAGGAAGGGCAGUAAGUUAAUACCUUGCUGUUUUGACGUUACCGACAGAAUAAGCACCGGCUAACUUCGUGCCAGCAGCCGCGGUAAUACGAAGGGUGCAAGCGUUAAUCGGAAUUACUGGGCGUAAAGCGCGCGUAGGUGGUUUUGUAAGUUGGAGGUGAAAUCCCCGGGCUCAACCUGGGAACUGCCUCGAAAACUGCAUGACUAGAGUACGGUAGAGGGUAGUGGAAUUUCCUGUGUAGCGGUGAAAUGCGUAGAUAUAGGAAGGAACACCAGUGGCGAAGGCGACUACCUGGACUGAUACUGACACUGAGGUGCGAAAGCGUGGGGAGCAAACAGGAUUAGAUACCCCGGUAGUCC